RNAcentral lists this long non-coding RNA (1183 nucleotides) under Gadus morhua (Atlantic cod). Its description in RNAcentral is "lncRNA (ENSGMOG00000024685.1)". The record is from RNAcentral. Lineage: Eukaryota; Metazoa; Chordata; Actinopteri; Gadiformes; Gadidae.
ACAACAGAGAGGAGUUAGUUUGCAAGAGGAGGCAUUAUCUUCAUGGUGGAGACAAACUGUCGAGCCCGGAGUAGAAAGGGAAGGGGAAAAGGAAGAAACUGAAGAAUGGUCGAGAAAGGGAAGGGGAAAAGGAAGAAACUGAAGAAUGGUCGAUAUUCUGACGACGACGACGACGACGUAGUAUCGCUGGAUCCUCAGUUAAUUCAAUGUGAGAAGAAGAAGAAGAGAAAAAACACAGGUCUUAACGUCUUAAUGGAACUAGAAAAGCAAGGAUCAUGUCAGCUGAACUCAAUUAACGAAACCAGGAAUGAAUGCCAUCACCCAUCUUGUGAGCUGUUGAGGGAGAACAACCACAGGCUGCAGAGGGAAAAUGAUUCUCUCUAGGCAAAAAUAGCAACAUUGAAAUUGCUGCCAGACGCUUUGCAGAAGAUGGAGGAGUUUCUCCGCUCAGCACCAAGACCAACGACAACACCAAUACCAACACCAAGACCAGAACCAUCACUAUCACCAGCACCAACAGCAGUUCCACCACCAGCAACAGAAGACCCAUCACCAGCUCCAGGUCCAUCAUCAGCAUCAGCAACAGAGGCCCUGGGCCACUCUGUAAGAAUCUGUUUGACUUUAUGUGUAUAGGUUAAGUUACUUAGUUUCAGUUGCACUGUUUUUCUAAAUGCAUCAGCCGUACACUCGGUUAAUCUAAAUGCAUAUAUAUAUCAUUGAGGUAAGACGCUAGUCUGCUGUAUGUUGAAGUAGAUUUGUGGUAAUGUUAUCUACUUGCAUUAAAGGUCAUUCCAAAAGGACUUGUGGAGCGCUGCUCCUUCCAAAGCCCCCAGAAGUUCAUAAAUGAUCUCCUACAUGGGAUGUAUACCAGGGAAUAUAUGGCAGGCCAUUCAGUGACUGGCCAGUCAUCCAGCAGCUGCACAGAAGGAAAACCUGGCCUAGCCAAACAGGACCUUGUUGAAAUAACAAGUAGGUAUAUAGAAAUGAGAAAAGAUGUUGGUUGAGUGAUACCCUCAUUCUCAUGCUCAUCUUUCGUGUAUGUGUUUGUGUGUGUGUGUGUGUAUUCCCAAAGAUGCUGCAAAGUUGAAGUUCACCUACGUAACUGAUACGAACAUAAAAGCAUUUAUACGACAAAAGCUGAACAAUGCUGCCAAAUUUCAGAAACAAUAAAUUAUCAACUGUU